Molecule: long non-coding RNA, 4494 nt
Organism: Chelonia mydas (Green sea turtle)
Lineage: Eukaryota; Metazoa; Chordata; Testudines; Cheloniidae
Exons: 3
Source: RefSeq, a predicted model, not a curated record
AAAAGCAGAGUAGCUGGCUGUAGGGAGGGCUGCUGGGAUGUAGGCUGCAGUCACUCCCUGAGUGAAGGAAGUUGGAAGCUGGCAAACCCAGAGAGGAGGAAAGCCAGGAAAACAGCAGCAAGAGGCACUGGGGAGUGGCAAAGGAUGUUGGAGGUGCCAACCAGCCAGUCUGGAAAGACUGAAUUUCCCGGAAGGGGAGGACUUUAGCAACUUGGCAGGAGGGCCAAGCCAUGGAGAGGAAGCUGCAGACCCAGGAGUGAGCAGGGCAGCAGAGCGAGACAAGAUGGGAGAAGAAAACACGGGAGGGAGAGUGCAAGCUGGCAGAACUAAUCCCCAGGACAGCUGGCAGGAGGUGCUGCUCGUGGCACCUCUUCGGAUUCCCGUGCUCAGAAUCUGUCAACCUGCAAACGAGAAAAACCAUAGGCGAUGCUAUUGUUCAGCCCAGGCACAUGCUUGGCAGUGAAAUUAAUAUUAGAGAGACAAGGUAGGUGAUGUAGUAUCUUUUGCUGGACCAGUGGAGAAUGAAAGGCCUCACCAACCUCAUUACCCUGGCAGCUUUAGCAUAUGGACAACCUCUAGAUUGUGGCACCAAAACAUGACCAUCUUGUCCCUGAACUCCCCACCCCAGAAGAUGACUACCACCAGAAUGAGGAUGUUUCUCAAAAUUGCAGCUUCCAUCCACUCCCAGGCACUCUAGUGCCUCUGAAAUGCAAAAGCUCUAACAGCUGUUGCAUCUGAGUGGACCUGCAGGUCAACCUCUAACAUGUAAACAUCCCUCCAGAUGGACAUCCCUUUACAGUGAGUGAGGAAAUGGUGCCAGGUCACCAGGUCUUCCUUCAUCUCCAGAAUGACCCAUAUCAAAUGGUGUGGGACCUUUGCCCCAAUUGUCACAGUAGCAAACCGCAUGCAGAAGGCAUGCCUGGGGGCUAUGACUUUGUGUGGGAAAAUUCAAAUGGCCCAACAGAGAUUGGAGACCUCUCAGACAAACCGCUUUGGUCCUGCUGCUACGGCUAACCAUAUGGUUUUGUGCCAUGAGCUUGUCCCUAGAAAGGCGGGACUGCCAUGGACUGUAUCAAGCUCAAUGCCUAAGUACGUCAUGUGGUUGCAAGGCUUUCAGUUUUUUUCAUUAGCUAAGAGCACACCCAAUUCUCCCAACAGCUCUUGAAAAACCCAAAACAGUUUUCAUACUCGUCUGAUCUGGCCCUCCCCACAAACAAGAAAUUAUCCAGGUAGUGAAUUACCUGUGGGUACUCUGGGUGCCUCCUGACCACCUAGUCCAUCAUUGUACUGAAUUUUUCAAAGGCUACCCAUAAAAUAGCACAGCCCUUUGUCAGUUUUAUGUAGACAAAUGCCCAUCAGGGGGAAAAAAGCCCAAGAGGUCAAAGUCUGUUGGAUAGAUCAGGAGGCAGAAGGCCAACUUUAUGUCGGUCUUUGAUAGCAAAGUACAGGACCACAUGAGUUGAUCAUGUGCAUCACUGUGUUGAAUGACACAUAGCACAUGGUGCACUGCUUGGGGUUAAUAUCAUUGUUUACCGAUCCACAUUUACGGUAUGAGAGAUGGUGAAUGUCACGUCAUUCACCAGCUACUUUCUUAAGAAAAAGGGGAAAUAUGGAGAUUUGUCAGAAAGGACCUGCAUCCCUGCCUGGCCUCCUUUUUGGAUCUUGUCCCUGGCUGGGCUCCUUAUGCCUUUAACAGAUCAGAGAUUAUUUGCCAUGACAUACGCCCUCUCCCCUUCAUAGGGAAUCCUAUAAUCCUGAACAAAACCAUCCUACAAGUAUAUCCCUUUCUCCUUUUUGGGACUAUGCCUUAAAAGGGGGGCUAAAACAUCCAAGUUAAUUGGAUAUAUUGCCUUUUUCAGCCAUGUUGCCCCAAGCCCCACUCUGCAUGGGCUUGGGCCACUGCCCACAUCCCCUGGGGAAGAUGCACUUAACAUGCCAGAAACCUGAAGAUGUGUGCCUACCUCCACAAUGCCCACAUUCAUGCCGAAACCUACCAUAUGCACAGAUUUUUUCCUCUGUCUCAUUGCAUUCCCAGCAUGAAGGCCUGGGCUGGUCAGGUUUCAAUGUCUUAAGCUAAAACUUUGUCCCCCUUCUCAUGCCCUGACUUUAUUGUAUAUGUCCACUAUUGGUGCAGGGUCCCUUUAAAGGGUGCCCUUGAGCCAUGCACUCCUGUCAUAGUUCCUGAUCAAUUUUAUCCCAAUGCAAGGAGGCGUUCAGGGCGGCUCUCAUUCUAACAUGCUCAUCAUGCAAGAGCCCUGAAGUGCCUGAAAAUGAAUUAUAUGACCUACAUGUAAUAAGCAAAUAUUUCAGCACAGGCCCAUACACUGCCAUAACUGCACCAUCACCCACAUGUAGGUGAUGCAGGCUGCAAUUCCUCUCUGUGUUUUUCCUUUUGGCCCUAUUCCUCUCCUCCAUUUAUAGGUUCCCUGAACAGCAGGGAAAAUAUGUCCAUAUACUCCAUCCACCAUAUCUUCUCACGUUUUGAUUUGAGAAGAUGCGCCACCAAUGGCUCAGAAGCGGCUGCAUAUGAGCCCAUAUUCAGACCAACAUUAGUAGACCCUCUGGGUUGCUGCAAUAAAGGCUGUGGGACAGGGAGUGAGGAUCCUGAGGCUUUAGGGCCAGGAACAAGGAAACCAGAGGCUGUGGGGCAAAUGGCUGUGAUGCUGGAAGCUGUAAGGCUGUCAAAUGAGGAGUCAUCAGAUGGAGGGCUGUCAGCUAGAGUGCCUGGGCAUUGGGUGCUCCCACACUGUAUACCUGCAGGCAGCUGGCUUAUUCUAUGACCCUCUGUUCAUAUGUACCUCCUGAGGCUGAAGCCAUCCGGGACCCCGCCCAUUCCUCACAUCAGAACUGCCUGUCUGAGACCAUGCAGCCACACUAGGGGAAUAUGCUGAACCCCAAAUACCUGGACCACUGGAUCUUUCCCAUGCACUCCCACUGGACCCUGACUGAUUGUGAACUCAACCUGCUGCAGGGGCCAGGGUGUCUUCUGUUGCGCUUGACCCUUGUUUUCCAGUGCUCCAAACCGAUCUGAAGUGGACUGCAUCAUCUUCACAAGUUACCCCAUCUCUGGCUGCUUAGGACAUGGCUCCCUUCCUGGCCUCUUGCUCUUUUCUCUCUCCUUCCUGACCUUCCCAGCUGGUCCAGAAUAGGCAACAAAUGGCCCCCUGCGUCAAGCAGCUGCAAUGUGUCAGUUAGCCCAUCCUGCUGCCCACCUGGUCUUGUAGCAUCACAGGGUAUCGCUGCCUUUCAUGCUUACUUAGCCCUGGCACACAUUGUGCUGCCCAUGUGCCCAGCACAAUCAAGCAGGUUUAGGUUGUUGCCAGUCAGCUGCCUAUGAUCCAUGGCGAACACAGCUGCUCCGCAUGCUCUGGUCCUCCUGACUGCUAGACAAACUGUCAAACAGAAAGUGGCCCUGAAUGCAGGGUUCCUGUUAUGGUUCCAAAUCCUGCGAGAUCUCUGGCUUGCCACCGAAAUCUUAUGGGAGCUGGAAAUCUUAAAGGGACUUGGCCCGUGCUGUCCUUUAAUGCCCUCUCCCAGCAUGGGAGCCACCCAACUUACCCCUCACUAGGCUGGGUGCCCUUUUGACUCCAAACAGAAGUUUGCUUUACCAAAAGGAUGUCACUGCCUCCCGCCCCCCAGCAUAGAGCAGUUCAGGAGGCGUUAGUGUAAACCAAGCAAUGAGAUUAAGACUAGUACAUUGUAUUGUGUAGGGUGGUUGUUCAGAGAACUGAGAUAUGAAAGGGCCUAGUGGAGGAACUCUAAAGUCUCCUGUGUGCAAGAGAGCCAGGCUCUACUGUAGUCAGCUCUGCAGGACCUCACAGGGGGAAUUUGUAAGUGGGUUGGGAGACUGGUAACAGCCAGAUGCAUGGGCUAAAAUCCCUUUGUGGAGUGAGUGCCAUAAGCUAUAUAGCUGUGGUUGAUAUUGUAGUCACUAAUACUUGUGGUGGUGUUGUGAUUGAAAAUAGUUACUUUUUGAACCAAAUUCCUUGCAUCCUAUGACCCAUCUGCAUGACAGAAAUGUACAUAUAUACAAAGCCCUUAUGUAAAUACACUGCAUUGGCAUAAAGUGGGAUUUACACACUAGUUUUCCUUUAGCCAGCAACGUACAGAAGCAUGUUUUUACACCAGUAUAUUUUUCUUAAUAUAGACAGGACUUAAAUUUACCCUAGUGCAAAUUUCCUUAAUGUAGACAGAGCAUGAAAUGAGAAUAGUCUCUCCUCUACUGUGCUGUUAGAAGUAGCUGUUUCAAGAAGCAAUGUCUCAAGAUGUUGAGAAAUUGCUUCCCUAAACCUUUUCCCAACAUAGGACCGUUAUUGCUGCUAUUAGAUUUAGUUCCCUUCUUGAUCUCAUUCAACAUUACACACUCAGUAUAUAUAUUUUUCCUGAUCCGGAGGCAAAGUACCUUUGUUUAUAUGUAUUUGAUAGGUUGACAUUCAAAAUAUGUGCUUAGCUACAAAUAUUAAAGUAUUUUAAAAUGUGUUUGCACCUUAGGUG